Molecule: small RNA, 164 nt
Filed under: Chrysemys picta bellii (western painted turtle)
Lineage: Eukaryota; Metazoa; Chordata; Testudines; Emydidae
Description: TUC338 (ENSCPBG00000024669.1)
Source: RNAcentral
GUGAGAGGUGCCCUGGCAGAGGCCCUUUAUCCACAGGAGAAGGGCACCCUGGGCACAGGGCGAGCUUCCCCACACCCGGGCUCCCACCUGCACGUCUCAGCCCUGCCACCUCUAUCGGUGAGAGGGGAGUUCAGGCUCCGAGCCCCAUCCAAUCCUUGGCCUCU